Molecule: ribosomal RNA, 253 nt
Filed under: uncultured bacterium
Lineage: Bacteria
Description: partial 16S ribosomal RNA
Rfam family: Bacterial small subunit ribosomal RNA
Source: RNAcentral
GACAGAGGUCCCGAGCGUUGUUCGGAUUCACUGGGCGUAAAGGGUGCGCAGGUGGGUUUGCAAGUUUGAUGUGAAAGCCCCGGGCUUAACCCGGGAAUGGCAUUGAAUACUGCAGAUCUGGAGGAUUGGAGGGGGGACUGGAAUUCUUGGUGUAGCAGUGAAAUGCGUAGAUAUCAAGAGGAACACCAGUGGCGAAGGCGAGUCCCUGGACAAUACCUGACACUGAGGCACGAAAGCCAAGGGAGCAAACAGG